This 1475-nucleotide long non-coding RNA is filed under the name Phascolarctos cinereus (koala). Its description in RNAcentral is "lncRNA (ENSPCIG00000037385.1)". The record is from RNAcentral. Lineage: Eukaryota; Metazoa; Chordata; Mammalia; Diprotodontia; Phascolarctidae.
UGGACUUGGAGCGGGAAAGAACUGGGUUCAAAUUCUGCCUCGGACCCGCAUCACCUGUGUGUCCAUUGGCACGUCCCUUCUCCUCCCCGCGAGGGCAUUGGCCUCGGUGACCCUCAGGUCCCGCCAGCGGGAGCUCAGCGGCCCCAGGGGUCCUUGAGCCUCCGAGCACACGACUGGAGCUGAGCCCACAGCCCUCCCUCAGCGCUGCCAUGUCUCCCAGCACCCGGGGCCGAGCCGCCACGGGGCUAGGCAGGUCCAUCCUUGUCGGUCCUUGGAGCACGUGGGAGGAACGGGAUGGAUAUGAAGGGAGGGCCUUGGGAGGAGCUCCGGAGCUGGAGGAGAGCGAGCCUAAAGCAGGGACCCCAGACAGCAUCUGGGGGGCACCACAGUGCUCAGAGCGCUGGACUUGGAAUCAGGAAGACCUGAGUUCAAAUCCGACCUCAGACAUUUACUGACUUGUGACCCCGGGCAUGUCACUUAACCUCUGUCUGCCUCAGUUUGCUGAUCUGUAAAAUGGGUGUUAAUAAUGACAUCUACCAGCCAGGGAUGUUUUGAGGAUCGAAUGAAAUAAUAAUUGUGCCUGGAAGGUAGGAGGUUAUGUGUAAAUGCCUGGUUCCCUCCUUCCUUCCACGCCUGCGCUAGAGACGGGGCCAGGUGCUGGGGAUGAAAGGACAGAAAGGAGACAGUCUCUAUCUGCGAGGAAUGCACGUUCUUUUGGGGGGCGCCAGAUCCUGGCAGCCCCAGGAAUACUUGGAACCGUGAACUCAGCCUGGAGAAAAACAAGUCUUCCCUCUCAGGAGAGAGUGGAGCAGAUGCAGCACAUCAGAUACCUGUGCCCCUGGCAGCCCAGAGGGGUCCUGAGGAGUCCCAGCCUUCAUAAAAAGAAGUCCCAUUUCCCCAACAGUCAGCACAGCACCCUGCAAAAGCUGGUGUUCAAGGCUCCUUCCCUCUAUGCCCCCUCCACCCCGCUGAUGCCAGGCCCAAAACAAACAAGCUGGGUCUGCCCCUUGAGUCCCUCCUCCCUGUCCUACCACAGGCCCUUUCAGGGGGCUGGGGUUCCCCUUAUGUUCUUCAAACAGUGGAACUUGGGCCUUCCAUCCUCUCCCUUCUUACCACUAGGACAUCUUUUUGUUCUGCUGAUACAUUUUUCUGGAGACAUCCUUUAUGCCACUUCUCUCAUAUCCCUCAUUACUUGACAUGUGUUACAGAUAAGCAUUCCCACCAUGCUGUCCCCUUUGGAGGGUCCUCCACUUCAGUUCUGUACAGGUUCAUCAGGACUUGCUGCCCUCCCUGCAAGGGACAUUAAAUGCAUAAUGACUAUACUUUCUUGUCCACACACUGUUUCUCAAAAAUGGAAUGUAAGCUCGUUGAAGGCAGGGACUAGUAAUUUGUUAGUUGCUUUUUAUGCGGGGGUCUUUGUAUGUAUAGUACCUGAAACAGUGCCUGGCAUACAGUGAGUGCUUAAUAAAUUGCUG